Molecule: long non-coding RNA, 1227 nt
Filed under: Equus asinus (donkey)
Lineage: Eukaryota; Metazoa; Chordata; Mammalia; Perissodactyla; Equidae
Description: lncRNA (ENSEASG00005032776.1)
Source: RNAcentral
GACAGAUUCACACACAAGGAAAACACCAUGUGAACGUGAAGGAGGAGAUCGGGCUGAUGCAUCGACAAGCCCAAGGACGCCAGAGUGCCAGCUAACCACCAGGAGCUGGGAGGGGCCCGGGCCAGCUGUCCCCCUCGCAGCCUCGGAAGGAACCAACCCUACUGAUACCUUGAACUUGGACUUCUAACCUCCAGAACUCUCACUCUAUAACUGAUGACAAUAGUCGUACCUACAGAGAAGGACCGGAGUCUGAGAGGUUCAGACACAGAACAAAUGCAUGCACUGAGAUAAAUGCAGAGAAGAGAAGGUGUCACCUGAAAUGAGCUCUGCUUUCUUGAGGGUUGGAAGACCUCCUCUGAGUACUGACCCCACCCUGCUGAGCUCAUAGGCCCUCCUGGCCAGGAGAGCCCGGGGUCAGCAAGAGUUUCCUAAGUAAUCUCUCAAGAGAACACAUACCAUGGAGUGAAUCAGAAAUGCACCUCCAUGUCCCUGUGCAAGUACUAGCCAGUCUUCCCAAGUCUGCCAGGAAUAGAGUGACCAACUUGUCCCAGUUUGCCUGGGAUUUUCCCAGUUGAGUGUUGAAAGUCUCACAUCCUCAGAAAUCACUCAGUGCCAAGUGAACUGGGCUGGUUGGUCAUCCUAGCCAGGAAAGGAGGGAGGAGCAAGAGACUGCAGUGUCAUACCUGCCUCUUUCCCUCUCUACAAAAGUAGGGUGGCCUGUAACACUUGUGGGCCUGUUGUCCCCAUCUAGCUGCAUGGGGAGGGCACUUAUGUCAUUUAAGGCUGAGGGUAGGGAGUCCAAAGUUAUCCACUGAAAUUUUGUGUUACUUCUCUGAACUGAGAUGUGUGUAUUAACAUACAUACACAAGUAAUACAUCAUCACUGUAGAAAAUCACAAAUAAAGAUAAGACAAGAAGGGGAUCAAAGAUACUCAUAAUCCUAUGACCCAACAGUAACCAUUUUGAAAAUUUUCAUGUGUACCCUUGUAGAUUAUAAUGCAGGCAUACAGAUAGGUAUAAAUAUAGUAACAUAGUAAACAUACAUAGGUAUAAAUAAGUCCAUUUCAGAAAAAUAUAACAAAAAUGAGGCUUUGAUCACUCAACAGUAUGAGUAUUUAUCUAUGGGAAUAAGUAUAAUUUUAUGACAUCAUUUUAAAUGGCCACAUAAUAUUCCAUAAUAUGUAUGUGCCACGGAUUACUCAACCAAAUUGAUUAGGUAGGACAUUUA